AUAAAAGCAAUGAAAAAAGAGUGUCAUUAGGUCAAUGGUUUAAGCGAGCAGAUGAUGGUGUGAGAUCUGUACGAAUACCCAAUGAAUGGAGCUUUUGGAGCUGCAGACAGUGUCUAAUCGCACCGUGUCUGACGUGAAACUCGUUAAAAAUUAAGGUGGUUUGUCUUUGACAGGCAACUUGGGUGGAACCGCGGAACAAUCCGUCCCUUGU
Molecule: non-coding RNA, 211 nt
Filed under: Acetobacterium bakii
Lineage: Bacteria; Bacillati; Bacillota; Clostridia; Eubacteriales; Eubacteriaceae
Description: T-box sequence
Rfam family: T-box leader
About the family: Uncharged tRNA acts as the effector for transcription antitermination of genes in the T-box leader family. T-boxes are found upstream of many aminoacyl-tRNA synthetase genes and some amino acid biosynthetic genes usually in Gram-positive bacteria.
Source: RNAcentral